Molecule: long non-coding RNA, 938 nt
Organism: Myotis daubentonii (Daubenton's bat)
Lineage: Eukaryota; Metazoa; Chordata; Mammalia; Chiroptera; Vespertilionidae
Source: RefSeq, a predicted model, not a curated record
GAUAUUUAUUAUGCAUUAUAAAUUCUACAUUUCAUGGUAAAAUAUUUGAGAUACCCAAUACAUUUAUUUCCCUUGUUAGCCAGUUGAGUCCUAAAUUGACAAAGUGGUAAUGUGUAGUUUAGUCACUAGAUGGCAGUAGUUUACAAAAAUGCAUAAGCUCAAGUUCUUAAUUGCUGUUUUAAACAUUCUGUAGAGUUCAUUAACAGUAUUGAAAAUUCUUCAACUUACUUUGUCUCUCUCAUUUCACAGGUAGAAUGAGUCUUAAUCAGUGGUCUUCUUCUUUUUGGUUGGCAAUUAAGGUUUUCUCAGUGUUGUGGGAAGUGCUAAGCAGCGGUGUUAGAUACUCCUAGCUAAGCUCACCCCAAGCUUUGGGGUUGUGACUCAACAGACAUUUUCAUAAUUUGCUACUCACUUACUUGAAUACCUACUCACUGAAGGAUAUCUGCGAACUUAAUUAUGGUCAGUGCUCCCUAGGACUCCCUACAAUGGUAUAUGCAUCAGCAUUCCUACUACCUUGGCUUCUAGAAAAGGAUACAACAGAGGAGGGAUGUGGAAACUAUUAGUGUGUUUUUGUGUUGUCUUACUUGUGGAGGCAUUUGAAUGCACUUCUCUUAACAUGAACAAGAUCCAAAACAUAGGGACAUCUUACAUCUUUAUGCUCUCUGGAAGCAAAAAGUGGGAGCCGUAUGGCGAUGUUUCCCCUGAGAAGUGCUGGCCAGGAGUGUGGGGUCUGGAGUAAUAAAUGAUUCUUAAGUCAGUGAGGAAACUGGGCUUAAUGAUCAUCAAUCCACAUCUUCUGUCAACCAUUAUUCCUCCUGCUCUUGACUUCUGGUUUAUUUUCGUUUGUUUGUUUAUUUGUUUUAUUUUUAAAAAGAAUAGUGGGAGCACAGUUGAAAAUACAACCUUCUCUCAUGGCACCCUUUAUUUUUUUUAUCUCC